This 253-nucleotide ribosomal RNA is filed under the name uncultured bacterium. RNAcentral's name for it is "partial 16S ribosomal RNA". It matches the Rfam family "Bacterial small subunit ribosomal RNA", at positions 524 to 776 of the family's 1533-position model. The record is from RNAcentral.
UACAGAGACUGCAAGCGUUAUUCGGAUUCACUGGGCGUAAAGGGUGCGCAGGCGGUUGUGUGUGUCAGGUGUGAAAGCCCGGGGCUUAACCCCGGAAUUGCGCCUGAAACUACAUGACUAGAGCAUUGGAGAGGGUAGCGGAAUUCACGGUGUAGCAGUGAAAUGCGUAGAUAUCGUGAGGAACACCAGAGGCGAAGGCGGCUACCUGGACAAAUACUGACGCUGAGGCGCGAAAGCGUGGGGAGCAAACAGG